RNAcentral lists this transfer RNA (74 nucleotides) under Clostridiales bacterium. RNAcentral describes it as "tRNA-Pro". It matches the Rfam family "tRNA". Rfam says of the family: Transfer RNA (tRNA) molecules are approximately 80 nucleotides in length. Their secondary structure includes four short double-helical elements and three loops (D, anti-codon, and T loops). The record is from RNAcentral. Lineage: Bacteria; Bacillati; Bacillota; Clostridia; Eubacteriales.
CGAGGCGUGGCUUAGUUUGGUAGAGCGCUGCGUUCGGGACGCAGAGGUCGUGGGUUCGAAUCCCGUCGCCUCGA